GGGGGCUGGUCGGUGGGGUUAACAAAAAAGGGAUAAUAUCCUACUAACCAGUAAAAUACUAAGUAGCAAUUUUUUAAAUGAGGUAAAUUGUCAGAUACUGACAUGGAAUAAUUGUACUUUAUGUGUAAAAGUUACAGAACAACACUUAUGAUAGAGUUUAUGCAGACACAGAGUUUAUACAUGGCUACUUCUGAGAAGAAUAUAUUGCAAAGGAAUGAGGUAAUUUUAUUUUACUUCUCACCAUUCUCUACCAUUACAAUUAUUUUCUUAAGCAUAUAUAUUUUCACAAUAAUUAUUAAGGACUGUGCAAGAGGAGGUGGAGCAUAAAUCAAAACAAUGGAGACAAUAUGAUACUACUGAAGAUGCAAGUAUAAGUGAUAGAACAUAAAAAAAGUUUUGAAAGGAAAGAAUAUACAAAAAGAUAUUGGAGGCUGGGCGCAGUGGCUCACAUCUGUAAUCCCAGCACUUUGAGGCUGAGGCAAGCAGAUUGCUUGAGCCCAGGAGUUCGAGACCAGCCUGGGCAACAUGGUGAAACCCCAUUUCUACAAAAAGUACAAAAAUUAGCUGGGCAUGGUGGCACAUGCCUGUGGUCCCAGUUACUCAGGAGGCUGGGGUGGGAGGAUCACUUGAGUCAGGGAGGCAGAGUUUGCGGUGAGCCAAGAUCUUGCCACUACACUCCAGCCUGGGUGACAGAGUGAGAUCCUGUCUCAGACGAAAAAGGAAGCAGCAAUUGGAAAAUGAAAUAAAGGAAGUAAAAAUGAAACUAGGUGUCAUAACUCAGGAGUGCUGUUUAUACCAGAUGAAUCUACAAAGCCAAGAACAGGAA
RNAcentral lists this long non-coding RNA (826 nucleotides) under Homo sapiens (human). RNAcentral describes it as "HSALNT0112201". Lineage: Eukaryota; Metazoa; Chordata; Mammalia; Primates; Hominidae. The record is from RNAcentral.